AACGAACGCUGGCGGCAGGCCUAACACAUGCAAGUCGAGCGAGAUCUUCGGGUCUAGCGGCGGACGGGUGAGUAACGCGUGGGAAUAUGCCUCUUGGUACGGAAUAGCCUCGGGAAACUGGGAGUAAUACCGUAUGUGCCCUUUGGGGGAAAGAUUUAUCGCCAAGAGAUUAGCCCGCGUUGGAUUAGGUAGUUGGUGGGGUAAUGGCCUACCAAGCCGACGAUCCAUAGCUGGUUUGAGAGGAUGAUCAGCCACACUGGGACUGAGACACGGCCCAGACUCCUACGGGAGGCAGCAGUGGGGAAUCUUAGACAAUGGGGGCAACACUGAUCUAGCCAUGCCGCGUGAGUGAUGAAGGCCUUAGGGUUGUAAAGCUCUUUCAGCUGGGAAGAUAAUGACGGUACCAGCAGAAGAAGCCCCGGCUAACUCCGUG
This 433-nucleotide ribosomal RNA is filed under the name uncultured bacterium. RNAcentral's name for it is "partial 16S ribosomal RNA". It matches the Rfam family "Bacterial small subunit ribosomal RNA", at positions 29 to 507 of the family's 1533-position model. The record is from RNAcentral.